CUGAUCUGUCUCUGUAAGAAAUCUUCAAUUAAGCUAUGUUGCUGUAAAGAAGAAUGUAUGCCCUGGCAUCUUUUUCUCUAGUUUGCCAACUCAGCCUGAUUCCACACCUUGCAGUACUUUCUCUUCCUGCGUAAUACGGCUAAUUACUAGGAUGCAGUAUUGCAGGCUAACUCUGCCUGCUGCCAGGAGUUACAUCAUGACCAGCUCAAGGUUGACUCAUCCUUCCAUCCUUCCAAGAUCAGGCAAUGUACGAGGAACAAGUAAAAGUGACUAUGUUG
Long non-coding RNA from Crotalus tigris (Tiger rattlesnake), 278 nucleotides. RefSeq lists it as uncharacterized. The transcript has 3 exons. The record is from RefSeq and is a predicted model, not a curated record. NCBI's taxonomy places the organism in Eukaryota, Metazoa, Chordata, Lepidosauria, Squamata, Viperidae.